RNAcentral lists this ribosomal RNA (253 nucleotides) under uncultured bacterium. RNAcentral describes it as "partial 16S ribosomal RNA". It matches the Rfam family "Bacterial small subunit ribosomal RNA", at positions 524 to 776 of the family's 1533-position model. The record is from RNAcentral.
UACAGAGGGGGCAAGCGUUGUUCGGAAUUACUGGGCGUAAAGGGCGCGUAGGCGGCCCGCUAAGUCGAACGUGAAAUCCCCGAGCUCAACUCGGGAACUGCGUCCGAUACUGGCGGGCUUGAAUCCGGGAGAGGGAUGCGGAAUUCCAGGUGUAGCGGUGAAAUGCGUAGAUAUCGGGAGGAACACCAGUGGCGAAGGCGAUCUUCUGGACCAUUUCUGACGCUCAGACGCGACAGCUAGGGUAGCAAACGGG